GGUCGGUUAGCUCAGUUGGUAGAGCAUCGCAAUUACAUACAUCCCAAGUAUAAUAAUCCUGGGGGAUUACUGCGAAGGCCAUAGGUUCAAGCCCUAUACUGACCA
This is a non-coding RNA of Xylariaceae sp. FL1272, 105 nucleotides long. Lineage: Eukaryota; Fungi; Ascomycota; Sordariomycetes; Xylariales; Xylariaceae. The record is from the annotation of a GenBank genome assembly.